GACCCCGCACAAGUAGUGGAGCAUGUGGUUUAAUUCGAAGAUACGCGCAGAACCUUACCUACACUUGACAUGUUCGUCGCGACUUUAAGAGAUUAAAGUUUUCGGUUCGGCCGGACGAAACACAGGUGCUGCAUGGCUGUCGUCAGCUCGUGUCGUGAGAUGUUGGGUUAAGUCCCGCAACGAGCGCAACCCUCACUUUUAGUUGCCAUCAUUAAGUUGGACACUCUGAAAGAACUGCCAGUGAUAAGCUGGAGGAAGGUGGGGAUGACGUCAAGUCCUCAUGGCCCUUACGUGUUGGGCUACACACGUGCUACAAUGGUAUCUACAACAGGAAGCAAGACUGCGAAGUUAAGCAAAUCCUUAAAAGAUACCUCAGUUCGGAUUGCACUCUGCAACUCGAGUGCAUGAAGCUGGAAUUACUAGUAAUCGUGGAUCAGCGUGCCACGGUGAAUGCGUUCCCGGGUCUUGUACACACCGCCCGUCACAUCAUGGGAGUUGGUUCUACCUUAAGGCAAGGUUUCAAACCCUUGACCACGGUAUAGUCAGCGACUGGGGUGAAGUCGUAACAAGGUAGCCUAC
RNAcentral lists this ribosomal RNA (579 nucleotides) under uncultured bacterium. Its description in RNAcentral is "bacterial SSU rRNA". It matches the Rfam family "Bacterial small subunit ribosomal RNA", at positions 918 to 1504 of the family's 1533-position model. The record is from RNAcentral.